Non-coding RNA from Mycena metata, 89 nucleotides. NCBI's taxonomy places the organism in Eukaryota, Fungi, Basidiomycota, Agaricomycetes, Agaricales, Mycenaceae. The record is from the annotation of a GenBank genome assembly.
GACCUGGUGGUGAAUGGUUCACACCCACCUUUACUUUCUGGGCAAAGUACAUGAAGUGGGAGUACCCGGUUCGAUUCCGGGUCAGGUCA